AACGUAGGAGGCAAACGUUAUCCGGAAUUACUGGGCGUAAAGCGCGCGCAGGCGGCUUUGUAAGUCCGACGUGAAAGCUCCUGGCUUAACUAGGAGAGGCCGUUGGAAACUACAGAGCUUGAGGUUGGGAGAGGAAAGUGGAAUUCCCGGUGUAGUGGUGGAAUGCGUAGAUAUCGGGAGGAACUCCAGUGGCGAAGGCGACUUUCUGGCCUACACCUGACGCUGAGGCGCGAAAGCGUGGGGAGCGAACAGGAUUAGAUACCCUCGUA
This 269-nucleotide ribosomal RNA is filed under the name uncultured prokaryote. RNAcentral describes it as "partial 16S ribosomal RNA". It matches the Rfam family "Bacterial small subunit ribosomal RNA", at positions 524 to 792 of the family's 1533-position model. The record is from RNAcentral.